RNAcentral lists this ribosomal RNA (253 nucleotides) under uncultured bacterium. RNAcentral's name for it is "partial 16S ribosomal RNA". It matches the Rfam family "Bacterial small subunit ribosomal RNA", at positions 524 to 776 of the family's 1533-position model. The record is from RNAcentral.
GACGUAGGGCGCGAGCGUUGUCCGGAUUUAUUGGGCGUAAAGAGCUCGUAGGCGGCUUGUUGCGUCGACCGUGAAAACCCGGGGCUCAACUUCGGGCUUGCGGUCGAUACGGGCGGGCUAGAGUUCGGUAGGGGAGACUGGAAUUCCUGGUGUAGCGGUGAAAUGCGCAGAUAUCAGGAGGAACACCGGUGGCGAAGGCGGGUCUCUGGGCAGUAACUGACGCUGAGGAGCGAAAGCGUGGGGAGCGAACAGG